This is a small nucleolar RNA of Ornithorhynchus anatinus (platypus), 138 nucleotides long. NCBI's taxonomy places the organism in Eukaryota, Metazoa, Chordata, Mammalia, Monotremata, Ornithorhynchidae. The record is from RefSeq and is a predicted model, not a curated record.
GCCUUCUCAGGGUCAUACCUGGAGAAUUUCCAGUACUCUACCAGUCUCGACUGUGGGAAGAAGGGUCUAGCAGAAGCCUACCCAUUCCAUUCCUACCUUGGGCAGUGGCUAGUGAAUGGAAGGCAAUCUGCUACAAGU